UACGGAGGGGGCUAGCGUUGUUCGGAAUUACUGGGCGUAAAGCGUACGUAGGCGGCUUUGUAAGUUAGAGGUGAAAGCCCGGGGCUCAACUCCGGAAUUGCCUUUAAGACUGCAUCGCUUGAAUCAUGGAGAGGUGAGUGGAACUGCGAGUGUAGAGGUGAAAUUCGUAGAUAUUCGCAAGAACACCAGUGGCGAAGGCGGCUCACUGGCCCGGUACUGACGCUGAGGUGCGAAAGCGUGGGGAGCAAACAGG
RNAcentral lists this ribosomal RNA (253 nucleotides) under uncultured bacterium. Its description in RNAcentral is "partial 16S ribosomal RNA". It matches the Rfam family "Bacterial small subunit ribosomal RNA", at positions 524 to 776 of the family's 1533-position model. The record is from RNAcentral.